Long non-coding RNA from Heterocephalus glaber (naked mole-rat), 649 nucleotides. NCBI's taxonomy places the organism in Eukaryota, Metazoa, Chordata, Mammalia, Rodentia, Bathyergidae. The record is from Ensembl.
CACAUCUGUAAGCCGCUGGCUGUAUUCACACAGAAGAGACAGAGAUUCUGGCCUCUGAGGUGGAAAAGAUCCAGGAGAGGAGAGAGCUGUGUGUGAAGCAAGACAAGCAAGAUCCAACCACUGGCAGGUUCUCUGUGAGGAAUUAGAGAAUGAGGAGAGAGGAGGAAGGGAAACACCCAUGGGGUUGAGAGCUAGCAAGUGCACAUCUCAAAAAGUUUCCAAUGAUACUGGUGAGACCGGCCUCAAGACCAGAGAGACACUGUCCUGACCCUGAAGAAGCCCACAGUCCUGUGAUGGAACAGGCAUGCAUAGCGGUGGUCUAGAGAAACUGGCAGGAACAACUCUGGAAGGGUUUUCUGCCACCACAGGAAGGUCCAUGAAAUCCUUGAUUGAUGGGUCCCUGAUUGGUCAGAGGAAGCUUGCAGAGGAGGUGAUCCUGGAGCCAGAACAUGACAGCCAUGCAAGAUGGGGGCAAGAAAGAGGGCAGUUCAACCGUGCCAAGAUGUGAAACUGUAAAUCCACUGGCAUCUCCCGACAAGACCUCGUUGCUAAUAUUGUUUAGUACAAGAAACAGUGAGAGUUUACAUUGGUGAGGCAGAUGAGGGACAUCGUAUGGAAAAAUUAAGAGAUGUGGACAUUGACCUGAAAG